Molecule: ribosomal RNA, 253 nt
Filed under: uncultured bacterium
Lineage: Bacteria
Description: partial 16S ribosomal RNA
Rfam family: Bacterial small subunit ribosomal RNA
Source: RNAcentral
UACGUAUGGGGCAAGCGUUAUCCGGAUUUACUGGGUGUAAAGGGAGCGUAGGCGGCCUGGCAAGCCUGAUGUGAAAUACCGGGGCCCAACCCCGGGGCUGCAUUGGGAACUGCCAGGCUGGAGUGUCGGAGAGGCAGGCGGAAUUCCUAGUGUAGCGGUGAAAUGCGUAGAUAUUAGGAGGAACACCAGUGGCGAAGGCGGCCUGCUGGACGGUGACUGACGCUGAGGCUCGAAAGCGUGGGGAGCAAACAGG